This 238-nucleotide ribosomal RNA is filed under the name uncultured bacterium. RNAcentral's name for it is "partial 16S ribosomal RNA". It matches the Rfam family "Bacterial small subunit ribosomal RNA", at positions 100 to 334 of the family's 1533-position model. The record is from RNAcentral.
CGGAACGGGUGAGUAACGCGUGAGGAACCUGCCUCAAAGAGGGGGACAACAGUUGGAAACGACUGCUAAUACCGCAUAAGCCCACGGCUCGGCAUCGAGCAGAGGGAAAAGGAGUGAUCCGCUUUGAGAUGGCCUCGCGUCCGAUUAGCUAGUUGGUGAGGUAACGGCCCACCAAGGCGACGAUCGGUAGCCGGACUGGGAGGUUGAACGGCCACAUUGGGACUGAGACACGGCCCAG